This 497-nucleotide ribosomal RNA is filed under the name uncultured bacterium. Its description in RNAcentral is "partial 16S ribosomal RNA". It matches the Rfam family "Bacterial small subunit ribosomal RNA", at positions 28 to 507 of the family's 1533-position model. The record is from RNAcentral.
GAUGAACGCUGGCGGCGUGCCUAAUACAUGCAAGUCGAGCGAACAGACGAGGAGCUUGCUCCUCUGACGUUAGCGGCGGACGGGUGAGUAACACGUGGAUAACCUACCUAUAAGACUGGGAUAACUUCGGGAAACCGGAGCUAAUACCGGAUAAUAUAUUGAACCGCAUGGUUCAAUAGUGAAAGACGGUUUUGCUGUCACUUAUAGAUGGAUCCGCGCCGCAUUAGCUAGUUGGUAAGGUAACGGCUUACCAAGGCGACGAUGCGUAGCCGACCUGAGAGGGUGAGCAGCCAAACGGGAACUGAGACACGGUCCAGACUCCUACGGGAGGCAGCAGUGGGGAAGUUGAGACAAUGGGCGGAAGCCUGAACGAGCCACGGAGCGUGAGUGAAGAAGGUAUUCGGAUUGUAAAACCGUGUUGGUGGGGAAGAAAAAAAGUAGGAGGAAACCCUGCCGUCCUGACGGUACCCAAUCAGUAAGCCCAGGCUAACUUCGUG